UUAUAUUUUUAUACAUUAAUAUUUGUUUUUCAUAAUUAGUGUUUUAUAUUUUAGAUAUGUCGUAAUAUAACUAAUUGUAUUCAAAAGAUCCGGAUCGAAUCAGAUAAUAUGGUUAUUUUUGGUACAAAUAUCCAAACCCGUUUCAAAUACAUUGGUUAUUUAGAUAUUUUAGGGUCAUAUACAUCAGAACCAAACUAAUCCAGACUCAAAAGGAUUCAACUCAAAACCUACACAUAAAUUUAUAAUAUUCAAGGAGUGAGUAAUUUUAAAACAAAAUAAAACGAUACCCGAAAAGAACGACUCGUACCUAAGUGGAUAUUUAGUGUUCAUGCCUAACUGAUUUUAUAAACUAAUAUAAAUGAUAUUUUUUAUGUGUUUUGCUAAAUUAAGUGAAACUGAAAGAGUUUUUUUUAUUUAGUAAGCAAUUAUAUUGAGUGAAAAAUUAAGUGACAAUGAAUGUAAUUCAUUUUUAUUAAUUUGAUUUAAGUUAUGAUUUUAUUCACUAAACAUGUUUUUGAAUUAUGUUUUUGGCUACAUAAUUUUCCACUGAUUGAAAAAAAAAAUGUUAUAGUAAAACAAAUUAAAACAAACGCUUAACCUUAUGCAAAACUCAGUUAUUUUACUUUUUUGAUUUUAUAAUUGACACAAAACUAAUACUCCCUCCGUUUUUUAAUAUAAAUCGUUUUACAGCUAUGCACGUAGAUUAAGAAAACCAUUAAUUUUUUAUAUUUUCUAAACAAAAAUAUCAUUAAUUAUUUACCUAACCACAAUUCAACCAAUAGAAAAAUAGAAGAUAUAUUACCAUUGGUCAUACAACAUUAAUUAUUAAUAAAUUUUAUAUAGAAAACCGAAAACGACAUAUAAUUUGGAACAAAAAAAUUUGUCUAAAACGACAUAUAUUAAAAAACGGAGGGAGUAUUGAUUAAUUACUAAAUAAAAUCUACACUAUUAUUAUUAUGGUAAUAUAAUUAAUGAUGUGAAAUAUUGUUAAGACAAUAUAAUUAAUAUGAGUGAAAUAUGGAAAUACAAUUAAUGUAAUACUGCUAUCUUCGUUUCCAAACAAUUUUCAGUUAUAGUACUAUUCAUGUUUCCAAACAUUACUAAAGUGUACUUCAGUUUUAAUAAUAUAGAUA
RNAcentral lists this long non-coding RNA (1133 nucleotides) under Brassica napus (rape). Its description in RNAcentral is "long non-coding RNA (BNAP_LNC002023)". Lineage: Eukaryota; Viridiplantae; Streptophyta; Magnoliopsida; Brassicales; Brassicaceae. The record is from RNAcentral.